This 246-nucleotide ribosomal RNA is filed under the name uncultured bacterium. RNAcentral's name for it is "partial 16S ribosomal RNA". It matches the Rfam family "Bacterial small subunit ribosomal RNA", at positions 15 to 236 of the family's 1533-position model. The record is from RNAcentral.
GAUCAUGGCUCAGGACGAACGCUGGCGGCGUGCUUAACACAUGCAAGUCGAACGAGAGGAGAAGGAAGCUUGCUUCUUUCGAAUCUAGUGGCAAACGGGUGAGUAACACGUAAACAACCUGCCUUCAGGAUGGGGACAACAGACGGAAACGACUGCUAAUACCGAAUACGUUCCUUAGGUCGCAUGACUUUAGGAAGAAAGGGUGGCCUCUACUUGUAAGCUAUCGCCUGAAGGAGGGGUUUGCGU